Molecule: ribosomal RNA, 839 nt
Filed under: Fragilariopsis kerguelensis
Lineage: Eukaryota; Bacillariophyta; Bacillariophyceae; Bacillariales; Bacillariaceae
Description: partial Bacterial large subunit ribosomal RNA
Rfam family: Bacterial large subunit ribosomal RNA
Source: RNAcentral
AAAUAAGGGCGUAUGGCGGAUGCCUUGGCUCUCAGAGGCGAUGAAGGACGUGAUAAGCUGCGAUAAGCUGCGGGGAUUAGCACAUAUGAAUUGAUCCGCAGAUUUCCGAAUGGGACAACCCAAUAUAUUGAAGAUAUAUUAUUCGAAAGAAGGCUAACCCGGAGAACUGAAACAUCUAAGUACCCGGAGGAAGAGAAAACAAUAGUGAUUCCGCAAGUAGUGGCGAGCGAACGCGGAACAGCCCAAACCAUAGCAGUUAAGGCUACUAUGGGGUUGUAGGACUGCAACAUGGACUUAUACAAUGAACAUGAACUGGGUGGGAAACCAGACCAAAGAGGGUGAGAGUCCCGUAACGGAAAGUUGUAUAUACCUAGCAGUAUCCUGAGUAGGACGGGACCGGAGAAAUCCCGUUUGAAUCCACCGGCACCAUCCGGUAAGGCUAAAUACUCCUGAGAGACCGAUAGUGAACAAGUACCGUGAGGGAAAGGUGAAAAGUACCCUGAAUAAGGGGGUGAAAUAGUACCUGAAACCAUACGCUUACAAACGGUCGGAGCAGCUUUGUGCUGUAACGGCGUGCCUUUUGCAUAAUGAGCCUACGAGUUACUUUUUCUGGCGAGGUUAAUCUGUGAAGCAGAGUAGCCGAAGCGAAAGCGAGUCUGAAUAGGGCGUUUAGUCAGGGGAAGUAGACGCGAAACCUUGUGAUCUACCCAUGGCCAGGUUGAAGUUCCGGUAACACGGAAUGGAGGACCGAACCAGUAAGCGUUGAAAAGCUUUUGGAUGAGCUGUGGGUAGGGGUGAAAGGCCAAUCAAACUGGGAAAUAGCUCGUACUCCCCGAAAU